Non-coding RNA from Durio zibethinus, 994 nucleotides. The record is from RefSeq and is a predicted model, not a curated record. Lineage: Eukaryota; Viridiplantae; Streptophyta; Magnoliopsida; Malvales; Malvaceae.
ACAGAUUGACAGUUGGCACCGGCGGCGGCGCUCUGUUCGCAAGCGAACCAAAUUCCAAGCAAGCAAAUUUCUACCCUUAAUACCUACUUAAUCUAAAAUUCAGUCUAUCCUAACAUGAUAUAGAUAAUAGCAUCAAACGCUUUUCUCUGCGCCCUUUCUUUCGCCCUUUUCUUGGCUUUUUUAGAGCAGUACUCUGCUCUACGGCUCUAGUCUCUCUCUGUCUCUCUCUCUCUGCUCUCUACCGGGCCUUCUUCUGGUUUAAAUGGCUCUAGUAAGUACUAAUCAUAGUCUUAAUCACGUUGAUGCAAAUCCAGUAUCAUCAAUCUGCAGGAGCGAGUCCUUCCCAUAUGGGUAUAUAGAGCACAACUGCAUGAUGAUGGAGAAGAGACAGCUGUUCCUGAGGAGCUACCAGUUCUGCAGGAAGAGGUCUCUGGGGGAGAGAAUCAAGAGAUCCUUGGUUAGGGUUAAGAGGGUCAUGUGGUUUAGGCUACGGUCUGCCCGUAAACUGAGAAGGUUGGUCUUUUCCAGACUCCGAUUUGCCUUCUACCUUGGAAGAAGAUAUAUCCGUCUCAAGAACAACCAUUACCGCCACAGUCGUAACUCCUCUUGCUUCUGCAAUUUGAUGCAGAGCACCAAAAACUUCCUGUCUUACAGUCAAUUACUUCAUGGAAAGGUAGAAGAGGUUCGAAUAUAGAACGACCAUAGCAAAAGGGGUUAUUAAUCACAACCAAACUUGUCCUCAGCAUUGCACAGUUUUACAAUCCAGAAUGAGAAAAUGGUGGCCGGCGGCCUUAGUUUCUUAUAUCUGCCUCUUUAAUAUGUAUUUGCUUGUUUUCUAGUGGUAAUACCAGCUACCCAUGAUUUAAGCAAAAAUAAAUUGAUACUAUAGAGUAUAGUCUUGACAACAUUAAGCAGUUAUACGAUGUCUGGAGUUAUGGAGGUAAGCAAAUAUAAAGCAAAAAUAAAUCAGGGAUGAUAUUAUUCUGUUUUCUUA